AUGAACGCUGGCGGCGUGCCUAAUACAUGCACGUCGAGCGAACAGACGAGGAGCUUGCUCCUCUGACGUUAGCGGCGGACGGGUGAGUAACACGUGGAUAACCUACCUAUAAGACUGGGAUAACUUCGGGAAACCGGAGCUAAUACCGGAUAAUAUAUUGAACCGCAUGGUUCAAUAGUGAAAGACGGUUUUGCUGUCACUUAUAGAUGGAUCCGCGCCGCAUUAGCUAGUUGGUAAGGUAACGGCUUACCAAGGCAACGAUGCGAAGCCGACCUGAGAGGGUGAUCGGCCACACUGGAACUGAGACACGGUCCAGACUCCUACGGGAGGCAGCAGUAGGGAAUCUUCCGCAAUGGGCGAAAGCCUGACGGAGCAACGCCGCGUGAGUGAUGAAGGUCUUCGGAUCGUAAAACUCUGUUAUUAGGGAAGAACAAAUGUGUAAGUAACUAUGCACGUCUUGACGGUACCUAAUCAGAAAGCCACGGCUAACUACGUG
Molecule: ribosomal RNA, 496 nt
Filed under: uncultured bacterium
Lineage: Bacteria
Description: partial 16S ribosomal RNA
Rfam family: Bacterial small subunit ribosomal RNA
Source: RNAcentral